Molecule: long non-coding RNA, 1402 nt
Filed under: Salmo salar (Atlantic salmon)
Lineage: Eukaryota; Metazoa; Chordata; Actinopteri; Salmoniformes; Salmonidae
Description: lncRNA (ENSSSAG00000120010.1)
Source: RNAcentral
UGUUUUCAAGAUAAAAUAAUGAAUAAUAAAGAGGUCUCUCUGGAAACUGUUGCUGUUACUAUAAUGAUUCUAAUAGCAUCUACAAUGUCCUGUCUGUUUGUCUGUGUGGGGAGCUGAUCAAGCAGAAAUACAAACUAGUGAAGCAACUGACAGGCAGGUCUUUGUGGUAGAAUGGCAGCUCAAACAAAAGGAUGUGUCUGUCCGUCUACCUCGGAUCUGAAGACACUGAACGGUUUCCCAAGGCAACAGUCCUCCUUUAUUUUGCCAUCUUGCCUCUAAUGCGAACACAGCAUCUAUCUGAUCAAGCUGGGGUGAAGAAGAAGAAGAAGAAGAAGAAGGAGGAAGAGGAGGAGGAGGGAGAGGUAGGACAGGGAGGAGAGGCAGAAGAGGGAGAGAGAGAUAGGGAGAAAGAUUGAGGGAGAAACUAUUAACACAGUAGUUUAAUAUUUGAUAGGGCCAGUGUGACAUGUUUGGAGCGUUGUGAAUUCAUACUGUGGGGAACAGGGGAGAUGGUUGGCAUUAGCCUGAAAUCCUCAUGCGAUUGGCGCUGCAGAAAAGUUACCCACAUUACACAUUCAAGGCAACUGUUGUUGUUUCAGUAUAAUUAAGACUGGUUAGAGAGGGUAUUAGAAACUAGAUACAGUUAGUUAGACAGGCCUGGUGUGCAAGCAAAUGCCCCAAAUAAACAUCACAGGCUGGCUGAAUCACUAUGGUUGCUAUGGGAGUUAUGUAAGGGAUAAUCAACAAGGGGCUAUGCGUUCUAUGGUAAAUAAUGAACGACGUGGAAAGUGUGUUCCAAGAUGUUUUAGCGGAGUGGCGCCAACCUUCGACGGAGAUGCAUUAUUUUCCAGAGAAAGCAUAGAGCCAUGGUAUAAUAUUACAGAACUAAUAAAGUAUUCAUCUGUAUUGGGGAAUUAUCUUGGAUAAUGAAUGAGGUGGAACAUAGGUGAGAUUAAUAAAACACAUAGGGCUGUAUAGUUGGACAAUAGUGCUCUUAAUCAGAUAGACAAUAGCUGCAUUCAACUCUGGAGGUGGAGGACAAACUGAAAGUCAAACUGAAAACAGUCAAUUGGGAGAAAAAGAAACGCUUGAUAGAUGUUUCAGAGAUUACCAGGGGGCGGAGUUAAGAGAAUGAAUAGCAGGUUGUAGAGCCUAUCCUUCACAACUCACAACUCAGUUAAACUAUGUUCUCCAGAAGCACUGCACCCGUCCAUUCAGGUCAGAGUAUUAGGUGUAGCUACCUCCAGAGAGUUUGUCAGUUAAACUAUGUUCUCCAGAAGCACUGCACACGUCCAUUCAGGUCAGAGUAUUAUCAUCAUCCGAAGGAAGAAGACGUACAUUUCUCAGGACUUUUUAUUGUCGACAGUGACAUCAAUGUCUGAAUGUUGUGCGUGUAUCGAAC